UAAGGAAUAUUGGUCAAUGGACGCAAGUCUGAACCAGCCAUGCCGCGUGAAGGAUGAAGGUCCUCUGGAUUGUAAACUUCUUUUAUCUGGGACGAAAACGGGAUUUUUAUCUCAAUUGACGGUACCAGAGGCAUAAGCACCGGCUAACUCCGUGCCAGCAGCCGCGGUAAUACGGAGGGUGCGAGCGUUAUCCGGAUUUACUGGGUUUAAAGGGUGCGUAGGUGGGCUUAUAAGUCAGUGGUGAAAUCUCCGAGCUUAACUUGGAAACUGCCGUUGAUACUAUAGGUCUUGAAUUAUCUGGAGGUAAGCGGAAUAUGUCAUGUAGCGGUGAAAUGCUUAGAUAUGACAUAGAACACCAAUUGCGAAGGCAGCUUACUACAUAUAAAUUGACGCUGAGGCACGAAAGCGUGGGGAUCAAACA
This 421-nucleotide ribosomal RNA is filed under the name uncultured bacterium. Its description in RNAcentral is "bacterial SSU rRNA". It matches the Rfam family "Bacterial small subunit ribosomal RNA", at positions 355 to 774 of the family's 1533-position model. The record is from RNAcentral.